Non-coding RNA from Homo sapiens (human), 117 nucleotides. It matches the Rfam family "Metazoan signal recognition particle RNA". Rfam says of the family: The signal recognition particle (SRP) is a universally conserved ribonucleoprotein. It is involved in the co-translational targeting of proteins to membranes. The record is from Rfam. NCBI's taxonomy places the organism in Eukaryota, Metazoa, Chordata, Mammalia, Primates, Hominidae.
GCCGGGCGUGGUGGCUCACGCCUGUAAUCCCAGCACUUUGGGAGGCCAAGGCGGGCGGAUUGCCUGAGGUCAGGAGUUCGAGACCAGCCUGGCCAACAUGGCGAAACCCCGUCUCUA